This 66-nucleotide transfer RNA is filed under the name bovine gut metagenome. It matches the Rfam family "tRNA", at positions 5 to 66 of the family's 71-position model. From Rfam's summary of the family: Transfer RNA (tRNA) molecules are approximately 80 nucleotides in length. Their secondary structure includes four short double-helical elements and three loops (D, anti-codon, and T loops). Further hydrogen bonds mediate the characteristic L-shaped molecular structure. tRNAs have two regions of fundamental functional importance: the anti-codon, which is responsible for specific mRNA codon recognition, and the 3' end, to which the tRNAs corresponding amino acid is attached (by aminoacyl-tRNA synthetases). tRNAs cope with the degeneracy of the genetic code in two manners: having more than one tRNA (with a specific anti-codon) for a particular amino acid; and 'wobble' base-pairing, i.e. permitting non-standard base-pairing at the 3rd anti-codon position. The record is from RNAcentral.
GAGUAGCUCAGUUGGAUAGAGCGUCCGCCUCCUAAGCGGAAGGUCGUGGGUUCGACUCCCAUCUCG